UGGUGGGCCCACUAGGACUUGAACCUAGGACCAACGGAUUAUGAGUCCGCUGCUCUGACCAACUGAGCUAUGGGCCC
RNAcentral lists this transfer RNA (77 nucleotides) under Legionella pneumophila subsp. pneumophila str. Philadelphia 1. RNAcentral's name for it is "tRNA-Met". Lineage: Bacteria; Pseudomonadati; Pseudomonadota; Gammaproteobacteria; Legionellales; Legionellaceae. RNAcentral also lists the same sequence under 1 other name. The record is from RNAcentral.